AAGGAAUUCAGUUUAUUCAUAUAAUUCUUCAAGUUCCAAGACAAUAAUAUUUACAGACAAGCAGUUUUUUAUUAAUAAUGCUUGCUCAAACUUUAAUUUGUUCUAUUUUUAUUUUUAGAGCCAAAACACAAACUUGAGAGGAAGAAAUGCUUCAUUUUUUCAUGUUCUGUUUCAAAGUGCAGGUUUUAAAAUGUAACUCAACGUUUAUAAGGUUUUUUUCAUUACACUUUUUGCAAGAAAUUAAAACUCACGAAAUAAAAAUAUCACAAAGCCAAUAUUCAACAAAAUCUGCGAGUUGUUUAAAGAAAGUAUCUUUAAUCAGAAUACUGAAUUUUUGAUUAACCUAGUAGAAAAAAUUUUAAUAAUAAAUCUGCAACAUCUUUCCCUAACCAAACAUUAAACAAAUGGGAAAAGCAAAGUCAUUCUUUGAAAAACAGCUGAUAUUACUGCUUUAAUACCUUUUCAGGAGUUCUGAUUUUUACAGAAUUUUUCCAAAUAUAUCAAUUAUCUGGGCAAAACAUUUAUGUUAUUUUUGUACUACUUUAGUUCUAGAGUAUUUUUCUAAUUCCUGUUUCAGUUGCAGUUCUUUGCUUGACUUUCCCCUUUUAAAAUCUAUUUGUUAAAGAAGAACCCUGAAAUACUCUGAAUUCCAUCUUAUUUGGUUAAUGUGACUAAUGAGACUUACCCUGGAAGAUCUUAGUGUUUUUCUAAAUUGAACAAUUAGCUACUCUACAAUAAAUGUGGCUGAAUCACACUCUCUUUGGAUACCUAUACUAGA
This 778-nucleotide long non-coding RNA is filed under the name Bos taurus (domestic cattle). RNAcentral describes it as "long non-coding RNA NONBTAT016646". Lineage: Eukaryota; Metazoa; Chordata; Mammalia; Artiodactyla; Bovidae. The record is from RNAcentral.